GGAAAUAUGGCUGAGUGGCUUAAAGCGCAUGCUUGGAGUGCAUGUAACACAAUAGUGUUCAUAGGUUCGAAUCCUGUUAUUUCCU
This 85-nucleotide transfer RNA is filed under the name uncultured bacterium. RNAcentral's name for it is "tRNA-Ser". It matches the Rfam family "tRNA". From Rfam's summary of the family: Transfer RNA (tRNA) molecules are approximately 80 nucleotides in length. The record is from RNAcentral.